This 1532-nucleotide ribosomal RNA is filed under the name metagenome. RNAcentral describes it as "bacterial SSU rRNA". It matches the Rfam family "Bacterial small subunit ribosomal RNA". The record is from RNAcentral.
AGAGUUUGAUCCUGGCUCAGAACGAACGCUGGCGGCGUGGCUAAGACAUGCAAGUCGCGGGGUGAAAAUGAUCUGUAGCAAUACAGUGAAACACGACCGGCGCAAGGGUGAGUAAUGGAUGGGUAACGUGCCCUGGACACGGGAAUAGCCGUCCGAAAGGACGAUUAAUACCCGAUGAAGUCCCGAUUGCACAUGCAGUUGGGACCAAACGUUGGGGACCGAAAGGCCUAGCGGUCUGGGAUCGGCCCAUUUCCUAUCAGCUAGUUGGUGAGGUAACGGCCCACCAAGGCUUCGACGGGUAGCGGGACUGAGAGGUUGGCCCGCCACAUUGGCACUGAGACACUGGCCAGACUCCUACGGGAGGCUGCAGUAACGGAUCUUCCGCAAUGGGCGCAAGCCUGACGGAGCGACGCCGCGUGCAGGAGGAAGCCCUUCGGGGUGUAAACUGCUGUCAGGGGUAAGCAAGCGACCCGGGUAAAUAAUCCGGGAAGUUGAGUUAUCCCAGAGGAAGCCACGGCUAACUCUGUGCCAGCAGCCGCGGUAAUACAGAGGUGGCAAGCGUUGUUCGGAAUCACUGGGCUUAAAGGGCGCGUAGGCGGUCGAAAAGGUGUCUUGUGAAAUCCCUCGGCUUAACCGAGGAAUUGCGAGGCAAACCGUUCGACUUGAGGCAGGUAGGGGCCGGUGGAACUCUGGGUGGAGCGGUGAAAUGCGUAGAUAUCCAGGGGAACGCCAAUGGUGAAAACAGCCGGCUGGGCCUGUCCUGACGCUGAGGCGCGAAAGCCAGGGGAGCAAACGGGAUUAGAUACCCCGGUAGUCCUGGCCCUAAACGAUGUCCACUGGGUUUGAGAAUCUCUGACGGUUCUCGGGCCGAAACAAAAGUGUUAAGUGGACCGCCUGGGGAGUACGGCCGCAAGGCUAAAACUCAAAGGAAUUGACGGGGGCUCACACAAGCGGUGGAGCAUGUGGCUCAAUUCGAUACCACGCGAAGAACCUUAUCCCGGUUUUGACAUGCAAGUAGUAGGCGCUCGAAAGGGCAACCACUGGUAUCCAGUCCAGAGCUUGCACAGGUGCUGCAUGGCUGUCGUCAGCUCGUGCUGUGAAGUGUUGGGUUAAGUCCCAUAACGAGCGAAACCCUUGUCCUUAGUUGCCAACAGGUAAAGCUGGGAACUCUAAGGAGACUGCCGGUGUUAAACCGGAGGAAGGUGGGGAUGACGUCAAGUCCUCAUGGCCUUUAUGCCCGGGGCUGCACACGUGCUACAAUGGCGUCUGACAAAGCGAUGCAAGACCGCGAGGUGGAGCAAAACGCACAAACGACGCCUCAGUUCGGAUUGUAGGCUGCAACUCGCCUACAUGAAGCCGGAAUCGCUAGUAAUCGCAGAUCAGCUAUGCUGCGGUGAAUGUGUUCCUGAGCCUUGUACACACCGCCCGUCAAGUCAUGGGAGCUGGGAGGGCCCGAAGUCCGCGUGCCAAGCCGCAAGGCGGGUAACGGCCGACGGCCAACUCGGUGACUGGGACUAAGUCGUAACAAGGUA